GAUGAACGCUGGCGGCGUGCCUAAUACAUGCAAGUCGAGCGAACAGACGAGGAGCUUGCUCCUCUGACGUUAGCGGCGGACGGGUGAGUAACACGUGGAUAACCUACCUAUAAGACUGGGAUAACUUCGGGAAACCGGAGCUAAUACCGGAUAAUAUAUUGAACCGCAUGGUUCAAUAGUGAAAGACGGUUUUGCUGUCACUUAUAGAUGGAUCCGCGCCGCAUUAGCUAGUUGGUAAGGUAACGGCUUACCAAGGCAACGAUGCGUAGCCGACCUGAGAGCGUGAUCGGCCACACUGGAACUGAGACACGGUCCAGACUCCUACGGGAGGCAGCAGUAGGGAAUCUUCCGCAAUGGGCGAAAGCCUGACGGAGCAACGCCGCGUGAGUGAUGAAGGUCUUCGGAUCGUAGAACUCUGUUAUUAGGGAAGAACAAAUGUGUAAGUAACUAUGCACGUCUUGACGGUACCUAAUCAGAAAGCCACGGCUAACUACGUG
RNAcentral lists this ribosomal RNA (497 nucleotides) under uncultured bacterium. Its description in RNAcentral is "partial 16S ribosomal RNA". It matches the Rfam family "Bacterial small subunit ribosomal RNA", at positions 28 to 507 of the family's 1533-position model. The record is from RNAcentral.